RNAcentral lists this ribosomal RNA (229 nucleotides) under uncultured bacterium. RNAcentral's name for it is "partial 16S ribosomal RNA". It matches the Rfam family "Bacterial small subunit ribosomal RNA", at positions 568 to 796 of the family's 1533-position model. The record is from RNAcentral.
UCCGUAGGUGGAUAAUUAAGUCAGGGGUGAAAGUCUGCAGCUCAACUGUAGAAUUGCCCUUGAUACUGGUUGUCUUGAGUCAUUAUGAAGUGGUUAGAAUAUGUAGUGUAGCGGUGAAAUGCAUAGAUAUUACAUAGAAUACCAAUUGCGAAGGCAGAUCACUAAUAAUGUACUGACACUGAUGGACGAAAGCGUGGGGAGCGAACAGGAUUAGAUACCCUGGUAGUCC